RNAcentral lists this ribosomal RNA (293 nucleotides) under Klebsiella michiganensis. RNAcentral's name for it is "partial 16S ribosomal RNA". It matches the Rfam family "Bacterial small subunit ribosomal RNA", at positions 864 to 1157 of the family's 1533-position model. Lineage: Bacteria; Pseudomonadati; Pseudomonadota; Gammaproteobacteria; Enterobacterales; Enterobacteriaceae. The record is from RNAcentral.
GUCGACCGCCUGGGGAGUACGGCCGCAAGGUUAAAACUCAAAUGAAUUGACGGGGGCCCGCACAAGCGGUGGAGCAUGUGGUUUAAUUCGAUGCAACGCGAAGAACCUUACCUACUCUUGACAUCCACGGAACUUAGCAGAGAUGCUUUGGUGCCUUCGGGAACCGUGAGACAGGUGCUGCAUGGCUGUCGUCAGCUCGUGUUGUGAAAUGUUGGGUUAAGUCCCGCAACGAGCGCAACCCUUAUCCUUUGUUGCCAGCGAUUCGGUCGGGAACUCAAAGGAGACUGCCAGUG